AUGGAUCCACUUAAAGUGUUCUACUUGGAUCAUCUUCGAUCCCUAUGCGCUCGUGAUGAAAUCCCAACUAGCCUAGUUGAUGGGAAAUCUUUAGAUGAGCAUGCUCAUUUUGUGCGUCACCGUUUGACUGAAAAAGGGAGACUCUUAUGGAAUCAAAUAAACAAAUUGCUGUGUUAUGCUUGGAAUCUUUGUGAAAUUUAUGAUAUUACCUGUUGCUCUAAGAACCCUAAAAAACACCUUCCCUACCUAUGUGAGUUUAAUGAAAAUGAAACCUUGUCUUCUUAUGCAAAGGGUGUUUAA
Molecule: ribosomal RNA, 300 nt
Filed under: Triticum aestivum (bread wheat)
Lineage: Eukaryota; Viridiplantae; Streptophyta; Magnoliopsida; Poales; Poaceae
Description: partial small subunit ribosomal RNA
Source: RNAcentral